This 374-nucleotide ribosomal RNA is filed under the name uncultured bacterium. RNAcentral describes it as "bacterial SSU rRNA". It matches the Rfam family "Bacterial small subunit ribosomal RNA", at positions 28 to 404 of the family's 1533-position model. The record is from RNAcentral.
GACGAACGCUGGCGGCGUGCUUAACACAUGCAAGUCGAGCGGUAAGGCCCUUUCGGGGGUGCACGAGCGGCGAACGGGUGAGUAACACGUGGGUGACCUGCCCUCAGCUCUGGGAUAAGCCUGGGAAACUGGGUCUAAUACCGGAUAUGACUCCAUGACGCAUGUUGUGGGGUGGAAAGCCUUGUGCGGCUGAGGAUGGGCCCGCGGCCUAUCAGCUUGUUGGUGGGGGAUGGCCUACCAAGGCGACGACGGGUAGCCGGCCUGAGAGGGCGACCGGCCACACUGGGACUGAGACACGGCCCAGACUCCUACGGGAGGCAGCAGUGGGGAAUCUUGCGCAAUGGGCGAAAGCCUGACGCAGCGACGCCGCGCGA